AGAAAAUUUUUGAAAAGAAAUUGUAUAAACCUAAAAAAGAAAUACCAAAUUAAGAUGGGAAAUAAGAACGGUAAAUCUCUAGCUCUUGAAGAUGAGAAGUUCAUGGCGAGUAGAUUUCUUAAUUGUAUGCAAUACAUGCCGAAGUGGAAGAAAAAGUAUGGAGUACAAGGAAACUUCACAAAGAGAUGAGAACAAAUUCAAGAGAAAACAUAGAAAGAUGAAAACUGAUGAGGUCACAAGUGUUUGUCAGACCAGAACACAAUAAGGCCCCAGUGCGCUGGUGCAAGGCCGCAGCUCAAGCAAAGGGGCAAGAGGCGCUUCCGCUCCUAUGCAAAUCAUGUAUCCAAAUUUAAAGGACCUGCAGCCUCCCCCAUAUGACAGCAAAGCAUUGUCAGAUUAU
This is a long non-coding RNA of Syngnathus acus (greater pipefish), 400 nucleotides long. RefSeq lists it as uncharacterized. The transcript is spliced from 2 exons. The record is from RefSeq and is a predicted model, not a curated record. NCBI's taxonomy places the organism in Eukaryota, Metazoa, Chordata, Actinopteri, Syngnathiformes, Syngnathidae.